CCUACGGGAGGCAGCAGCAAGGAAUUUUCCGCAAUGGGCGCAAGCCUGAUGCAGCAACGCCGCGUGCCCGAGGACGGCCUUCGGGUUGUAAAGGGCUUUUCUGGCCAACGAGGAAGGACGGUAGGCCAGGAAUAAGCGUCGGCUAACUACGUGCCAGCAGCCGCGGUAAU
Molecule: ribosomal RNA, 170 nt
Filed under: uncultured bacterium
Lineage: Bacteria
Description: partial 16S ribosomal RNA
Rfam family: Bacterial small subunit ribosomal RNA
Source: RNAcentral